GUACUAAGAUUCAUAGAAAAGGGCAUUUUUCGCUGUCAUUUAUAUAUUGCUGAGAAAGAGAGACUUGACACAUUGAAACUACUUACAGAAAUUCACCGACAAUUACCGAACGCGGAUAGUUUUAAAUAAGUCGAGUAGCCUUCCUGCUGCGCCCGCGGACGUAGUAAAUCUAGCUACACACGCCAGCUCAAUGCGCCCGAACAGAAUUGCGGUUGGGCACAUGGCGCAUUUCUAUCAUUUACACACGUGGAUGCACGCAGCGUACUAAAAAAAACGAUGUUUCCAACUCUUUAUACGUUUCUUGUGAUGCAGACGUUAUUACCCUCAAGGAAACUUGCCUGCAGCCUGGCCACUGAACCACCGAUAUCCUGUCAACAUCCAGAAGCACCCUCGAGGUUUACCCUGGCAACUGGCAAGCACGCGCUCUGCUCUUCUGCGACUUGUCUGAUCCAGGCGCAUUCCCCUGUAUAGUCCCCGGGAAAAACACAGGACGGCACAUACCGCCACAAGCCGGCCUACGUGGAGACACCAAUCACUCAUGUGCAUCCCCAGAAAACGGAUUCCUCAGAGCAUUUGCUUCU
This is a long non-coding RNA of Dermacentor andersoni, 581 nucleotides long. RefSeq lists it as uncharacterized. NCBI's taxonomy places the organism in Eukaryota, Metazoa, Arthropoda, Arachnida, Ixodida, Ixodidae. The record is from RefSeq and is a predicted model, not a curated record.